GGCCGUGUGGCUCAAUGGCAGAGCGUCUGACUACGACUGCUGCAGUCUGUGCAAAAAUGUGUAAUCAGAAGGUCGCAGGUUCGACCCCUGUCUCGGUCA
This is a non-coding RNA of Claviceps sp. LM84 group G4, 99 nucleotides long. NCBI's taxonomy places the organism in Eukaryota, Fungi, Ascomycota, Sordariomycetes, Hypocreales, Clavicipitaceae. The record is from the annotation of a GenBank genome assembly.